Molecule: ribosomal RNA, 562 nt
Filed under: uncultured fungus
Lineage: Eukaryota; Fungi
Description: eukaryotic LSU rRNA
Rfam family: 5.8S ribosomal RNA (bases 28-181)
Source: RNAcentral
AUCAAUGCUAUAGAACGCAUGUUAUACAACUUUCAACAAUGGAUCUCUCGGUUCUCGCAUUGAUGAAGAUCGCAGCGAAAUGCGAUAAGUAAUGUGAAUUGCAGAAUUCAGUGAAUCAUAGAAUCUUGAAUCGCACCUUGCGCCCUUUGGUAUUCCGAAGGGCACGCCUGUGUGAGUGUCGUGAAAUUCUCAACCCUGUGCUUUUCUUGUGAAAGCGCGUGGGCUUGGACUUGGGGGCUUUGCUGGUCCUCGCGGAUCGGCUCCUCUCUAAUGCAUUAGCGAGACCCUUGUGGUGCCGCCCCCGGUGUGAUAAUUGUGUACGCCGUGGCGGUACGCCACGAUUGUGGGGGACCUGCUUCCAACCGUCGAAAGACAAACUUUAUUGAAACUUGACCUCAAAUCAGGCGGGACUACCCGCUGAACUUAAGCAUAUCAAUAAGCGGAGGAAAAGAAACUAACAAGGAUUCCCCUAGUAACUGCGAGUGAAGCGGGAAAAGCUCAAAUUUAAAAUCUGGCGGCCUCCGGUCGUCCGAGUUGUAGUCUGGAGAAGCGUCUUCCGCGC